GGUGUAGCUUGUUGUGCAGUUCCUAUGGAGAUGGGGGAAUACUGACCCUCUUCCAACGCAGCAGUAAUUCCAGCCUUCAUUGCAGAUCUCCAGCGGCUUGUUCAGAAGGAAAAGCAAGACGUAUCCUCUCUGGAGGGGGCUCUAACAAAGCUGGUGUAAUCAAGUAUCACUAAUGCGAUGAUGACCACAGCUUACGUAACACCAAGUCCCCACACUGUUAAACAAUGGCAACUAGAGAGUUUAGGACUCCUUGCAGAAAACACAGUGAAGUCCAUCAGAGUGUCUUCCAGUAAAAUCCAGACCACUGGGAGCUUGAACACAAGGUUCAGCACUUGGACACCUAUCGCAAACAAAUCAUUCAACAAGCAGCUCUUUGAGGAAAGAGUUAGUCUCAUAAGCCAUUGGUUUGAUCUGUGGACAGACAAGCAGCGCAAACAAUUCCUCCACACAAUGUUGAUGAGAUGCAGUAAAUCACAACUGAAAUUUACCCAAAACUGGUUUGCAGAGAGGAUUCCAGUGACCAAAGUGGAUUUCACCAGAGUGCUGCCACGUUUCAUAUCUUUAUACAUCUUCUCCUUUCUCAGCCCCAGGGAGCUGUGUGCAGCUGCCCAAGUCAGCUGGCACUGGAAGUUUAUAACCGAACAGGACUGUUUGUGGGUGCCAAAAUGUGUUAAGUUUGGAUGGUUCCUGCCCUACACUCCAGCAGACAACGAAUACAGUGCUUGGAAGCGACAUUAUAUUGCCUGUGCAUCGAGCUUAGAUUACUUCACCCCAAGAGAAGCCACUGAAAUCUAUGGGACCCUCAAUGAACCAAAACCUGAAAAUGAGGAGAAGGAAGAAAGGCUACGCGAAAAAUGGCUACGAAAAAUUAUUCGGGAGAGAUUAACAUUACACAAGAAGGAGUUAUUCAAAGCUCGACUACCUUGGAUGAGUGGGACUUGGAGCCCGAGAUUCUUAAAAUCGCGAUUACAGCCAAGUCAGGCGCAGACGAUCCAGGACGGGGCUAGACUACAGGCAAUUUUGCAACUAAUUAAGGAAAAGAAUGCUCUUUCAAUGCUGCUUUCUGAAGAAAUGAAACCUGUAUCAAACUUUAAUCUAGCAGCAGAAAAACAGCUUGUUUUGGCCUCCUUAAAAACUUUGCCCAAAAGAAAGAAUGUGACUGGAAGCAGAUCUGACCCUGUGUUACCUUACAAACACUGUCAGCGUGUCUACCAAAAACAUAGCAGUUUUGCAUAUCCACUUGAGCCAUACCUGGUUUUGAUAUCAUCCAGGAUUCCUGCAUAUGAGAUGGUGCUGGACAGCAUCAAACCUGGGGUGAUUUCUGUGUUGUAUGAACAUUGCGGAAUGACAUUGGAAAGCCUCCUUUUUUACAUAGAAAAGGCUCUGGAUGGCCGAAAAGCAAAGAGUAUAGGGAUUUUUAGUGAUGGAAACUCCAGAGAGAUCAAUUUACUUCAAGGCUGCAGAAUCAGUAUUGAGAACAUUCUGAGUCCUGAAGUGAGAGAAUUUUGGGAGAAGCUAGGUUGUGUAAUGUCUCCAGAGGAAGGUGGUUAUGUGGACAUCUUUGUUCCUCUGGCAGCAUCAGAGGCAGGGAUAGAAGUCCUUUCCCAGCUGACUCAGCUAACUGGUGUGCUCUUCAGAACCCCCACAGGAAUUGCAACUGGAUCUUAUCAGCACAUCCUUAGUGAAUGGCUGGGAAAACAGAAGGAUGGACCUCCCACCUCCACCUACUUCACUGAAGUAAAACUACAGACAUGGCUCAGAAUGACAGAGCUCCUGGAAGAUGCACUGAAAUCUGUCCGGAAGCAGAUGCGACCAUAUUUAAGUGAGCUGCAGAAGAGUAUUAGUGACAGGAUUACUGGUCAGUUUAUGUUUGAUGCUAUGAGCAGAGCUAAAGUACAUACUAAUCGAGAAACAGCCCAGACUUUCACUGAUGGAUUAGCUGAACUGUCAAAACGAAGCUAUGAGGAGGAUGCAAACGAGACUGCCACCCAGAGCCAAAAGCCUAACUGCCACAUCAGAGCAAAUGAGCCAACAUUUGAGGCGGUGGCUCAGUUGGAUAAAAAACUUCAGGGGGACACCGCAGACAGACGAACUAGAAUUGCCAGGGAGCUCCUGACAAGUGAGAAGAACUAUGUACACAUGCUGGAAACUGUGAGGGAUGUUUAUGUUACACCACUGAAAGCAGCAUUAGCAUCCAAUCGAGCCAUCCUAAGUCAUGCUAAUGUUCAAAUCAUCUUCUCUGAUAUCCUGGAUGUCUUACAACUCAAUAGGCAGUUUUUAAAUGAGCUGACAGAAAGACUUCGGGAAUGGAGUCCAUCCCAGUGCUUGGGUGAAAUAUUCACUCAAUUUGGCUGGCAGCUUCAAACAUAUACAAACUUCUUCAACAACUACACUGUCAUUCUGAAAACCAUUGAUAUGUGCAGAGAGACCAUUCCUUUAUUCCGUGCCUUCCUCAAAAGACACGAUAAGACUGUCGUUACUAACAUGAUGAGCCUACAGGAGCUGCUGCUAUGCCCUUCUAAAAGGUUUGAAGAGUAUCUUAAUCUUCUUUAUGCUCUGAGACUGCACACUCCUUCAGAACACGCUGACCAUGAAGAUUUGACUGCUGCAAUCAAGAUGAUGAAACAAUACAAGGAAUACAUAGAUCAGCUAAAACUGAACAUGAGCAAAGAUGAGCAAAUGCUAAAUGCACAAAGAAUCAUCCAGGGAUGUCCUAAUUUAUUAGAAGCCAACAGGUACCUGAUUAGAAUACAAGAUGUAACCCAGUUUAGCUGCUGUUCUGAGGAAAUCUGUGUUUCAUUCAGGGUCUAUGAACACAUCAGCAAUCUUAGCCUUUUUCUUUUCAACGAUGCACUUGUUAUUUCAAACCGUAGCAUCUCUUAUAUGCCAUUUGAACGGACCCCAAAAACAACUUACCAGUUCUUGGCAGCAGUAGCUCUUCACAGGCUUGUUGUAGAAGACAUUCCACGUUCAAAAUAUAUCAAGAAUGCAUUUAUUCUACAAGGCCCAAAACGCCAAUGGAUUUGUUCUAUAGAGGAUGAAGAUGAUAAAUUUACAUGGCUGUCUGCACUGCAAAGUGCAAUCAGCUGUAGCAUUGAGAAGAAAUGAGAUUCAUCUUAGUGUUUAGGAUGCCCAACUUCUGUAGUAUGUGCUAAUUAUUUGUGAACAGAUAUUUUGUGCAGUUUCCUACUCCGAGAAACUUUUGUUCAAAUUCUGCAUCAUUACCAAAAAGUUAGCAUUCCUUUUGAUAGAGUACUAUCAUGUGUGCGCCUCAGACUGCAGGAACUUAUGGUAGAAUCAACACUCGUCAACCUGUAGCUGAAACUGAAAUCACCCAACAAGGACUGCUGUAGAAGAUGGGGAAGCUAAGGCACAAAGAGGUAACACGACUUACUAAAGGUCUUCCAGUUGGUGAGUGGCAGAUCCAGGAAUGGAACCCAAUCUGAGUCCCAGUCCAGUGCUUUAGCUACUGCACCACACUGCAUCCCUUAUGCUUGUACUCUAGAAACGAGACAUAGCUUGUGCGACUAUAUUAACAAAAAUGAAGGCUAGCCUCACUUUACCAAGAAAAUCCAAGAUGGCCAAAAGCUGAAAACUAGAAGAACAAAGGAUUCUGCUGCUCCUUGUGACUGCCAUCAAAAAGGUUUAAAAAUAUAUUCCUGCAGAUUUGUGAGAGUUACAAGUUCCAGUUAAAGAUGAAUCAACAAAAUUAAAAUAUUGUGCUGUUUUAUUGGUGUAAAAAUCACACAAUUGCUAGUUCUGAUUCUGCUGAGAUACAUCCAUGCGAUUUAACAUCUAUGAUCCCACAGCCAGAAGAAGCCAUUAAAUAGAAUAUCUGCUGUUAGUCAGCAAUUAAUGCAAAUUUACAUAUGAGAUCAAAAGGUGUGUAUCAUACAAUAUACAACAAAACCUAAUACAGUACAUCAACCCCAAUAACAGGAUACACUCAGGGAAUUUUUUGUUAAUAGUGAAACCUGUCUAUAUGCCAGAAGAAUAAGGCCUGGAGACAAGGUAACAGAAGGUAACCCAGAAGUCCUAAGAAACAAACUGUUUAUUUUUUGGCUGGGAAUUAGAAUUUCAGAGAGGUAUUGACACAUUACUUGACAGUACAAUCUGUUACAGUAAAGACUGGUGGAUAUGAUCUGUUAAUAAAAGGUAAUGUGUGAAGCAUGCAUUUACAGGUAGUGCUCAGGAAAUGUGCAAUCAAUACAUUGGGAAUUAACACCCAAUUCUUUUUCACAGAAGAGAUGACCGAGGAAGGUCUGUUACGUAUAGUAUCAGUUGUACCAUAGGUCAUUUAUAUGCAUGCGGCUGAAUCAAGAUCAUGAGUGGAAAAAUGUGAACACCUGGCAAUCUGGUCACAUACUGCACAAAGUAUGAAACAAAGAUGAAAUAACCAAUUUUAGAUGAUAUGGCAAGGUAGCCUGCAAGAAACUCUGUGGCAGCCUGAGGGAGCUACUUUAUUG
This is an RNA transcript of Mauremys mutica (yellowpond turtle), 4466 nucleotides long. It is a transcript of the gene named epithelial cell transforming 2 like, with no coding region annotated. The transcript is spliced from 23 exons. Lineage: Eukaryota; Metazoa; Chordata; Testudines; Geoemydidae. The record is from RefSeq and is a predicted model, not a curated record.